RNAcentral lists this ribosomal RNA (443 nucleotides) under Bacillus sp. CSeA0_47. Its description in RNAcentral is "bacterial SSU rRNA". It matches the Rfam family "Bacterial small subunit ribosomal RNA", at positions 91 to 517 of the family's 1533-position model. Lineage: Bacteria; Bacillati; Bacillota; Bacilli; Caryophanales; Bacillaceae. The record is from RNAcentral.
GUCAGCGGCGGAACGGGUGAGUAACACGUGGGGUAACCUGCCUGUAAGACUGGGAUAACUCCGGGAAACCGGGGCUAAUACCGGAUAGUUCUUUUCCUCGCAUGAGGAAAAGUGGAAAGGCGGCUUCGGCUGCCACUUACAGAUGGACCCGCGGCGCAUUAGCUAGUUGGUGAGGUAACGGCUCACCAAGGCAACGAUGCGUAGCCGACCUGAGAGGGUGAUCGGCCACACUGGGACUGAGACACGGCCCAGACUCCUACGGGAGGCAGCAGUAGGGAAUCUUCCGCAAUGGACGAAAGUCUGACGGAGCAACGCCGCGUGAGUGAUGAAGGUUUUCGGAUCGUANAGCUCUGUUGUUAGGGAAGAACAAGUGCCGUUCGAAUAGGGCGGCACCUUGACGGUACCUAACCAGAAAGCCACGGCUAACUACGUGCCAGCAGCCG